GACGGAGGGUGCGGGCGUUAUUCGGAAUCAUUGGGCGUAAAGGGCGUGUAGGUGGUCUGAUAAGUCAGGUGUGAAAGCCCUUGGCUUAACCAAGGAAGUGCAUCUGAAACUAUCAGACUUGAGUACGGGAGGGUGAAGUGGAAUUCCUGGUGUAGAGGUGAAAUUCGUAGAUAUCAGGAGGAAUACCGGUGGCGAAGGCGACUUCCUGGACCGAUACUGACACUGAUACGCGAAAGCGUGGGGAGCAAACAGG
Molecule: ribosomal RNA, 253 nt
Filed under: uncultured bacterium
Lineage: Bacteria
Description: partial 16S ribosomal RNA
Rfam family: Bacterial small subunit ribosomal RNA
Source: RNAcentral